RNAcentral lists this long non-coding RNA (454 nucleotides) under Musa acuminata (dwarf banana). RNAcentral's name for it is "long non-coding RNA (MACU_LNC001788)". The record is from RNAcentral. Lineage: Eukaryota; Viridiplantae; Streptophyta; Magnoliopsida; Zingiberales; Musaceae.
AACAAUUUGGUGAUUCAAUUUGACAAUUGUCAAAAGAUGAGCACUUAAAUGGUCAUCAUUGAUGCUCAAUUGACACUUUUUCAGAACAAAAAUUUCUCCAUGAUAUUAGUUAUUUGUAAUACAGGAUCGAGGCAGUAUUAUUGUAUUAGUGGCUCAAGGCUUUACAAUCAUCAAAUUCUCCAUGUAUGUUCCUCAGGUUAGAAAUAUCUUUAUUAAUAGAUCGAUCAAUGAAAACCUAUCGACUUAUUUAUUUGCAGCAGUAUUAUUUCUGUUUAUCCUUUCACAUAUCGCCUAUUUUAAUGCCAGGGGAUCCAACAGAAUCACAGAAGGGUCAGAAUCUUCAAAAUUAAAUUUGAGUUUGCUGAUGAUACAAAUGCCUCAACAAGGAGUCUCAUAAUUGAUUCAGCAAGAACCAGUUGGUACCUGAUGGAAGCUUCCUAUGGUUGUGAUCAUU